Chelonoidis abingdonii (Abingdon island giant tortoise) is the source of this 222-nucleotide non-coding RNA. Lineage: Eukaryota; Metazoa; Chordata; Testudines; Testudinidae. The record is from RefSeq and is a predicted model, not a curated record.
CGAGGGAGCCGCCACCCUGGUGCGGUGCCGGGCGGAGCUGGCCCGACUGCGGGGGCUGCUGGAGGAGCGGGACCACGCACUGGCGAAGGCUGCCCGGGAGGCGGAGGAGAAGGAUCGGGUGCUGCAGAAGUUGCAGGUGUGCUGGCUGCAGCGUGGGGCCGGGGGCAUGAAGCAGACGCUGUGAGCAGAGGAGGGGUAAGAAGCUCAGAGAACCUGGCUGAC